Molecule: ribosomal RNA, 373 nt
Filed under: uncultured organism
Description: partial 16S ribosomal RNA
Rfam family: Bacterial small subunit ribosomal RNA
Source: RNAcentral
GUAGGUGGCAAGCGUUGUCCGGAAUUAUUGGGCGUAAAGCGCGCGCAGGCGGUUCUUUAAGUCUGAUGUGAAAGCCCACGGCUCAACCGUGGAGGGUCAUUGGAAACUGGAGAACUUGAGUACAGAAGAGGAAAGCGGAAUUCCACGUGUAGCGGUGAAAUGCGUAGAGAUGUGGAGGAACACCAGUGGCGAAGGCGGCUUUCUGGUCUGUAACUGACGCUGAGGUGCGAAAGCGUGGGGAGCAAACAGGGAUUAGAUACCCUGGUAGUCCACGCCGUAAACGAUGAGUGCUAAGUGUAGGGGGGUUUCCGCCCCCUUAGUGCUGCAGCUAACGCAUUAAGCACUCCGCCUGGGGAGUACGGCCGCAAGGCUG